Long non-coding RNA from Rhododendron vialii, 1070 nucleotides. RefSeq lists it as uncharacterized. The transcript has 2 exons. NCBI's taxonomy places the organism in Eukaryota, Viridiplantae, Streptophyta, Magnoliopsida, Ericales, Ericaceae. The record is from RefSeq and is a predicted model, not a curated record.
UGUUUUCCCUCUCAGUCGUGCAGAGGAACGGAGAGAUAGAGAAGAGGGGGCACCACACCUAACCCAACCCACUGCCAAGCACCACCAUUGCCGAUGACAACGACGGAGAAGAUGCCUCCACCACCGCCGACCACCACCGCCGUACGCCGACGAGUUUCGAAUCAAAAUUACUAGUAUCGAUCUCAAAGGUCUCGACCGCCACUGCCACCGCCACCGUACACCGACGAAGGUCAGUCUUUCGAUCAUUCUCGAAUGCUAGUAUUGAUUGAACUAGGGUUCCAAUUUCAAUUCGUAGAUAUUGGGGUUUUUGCAAAAAAAAAUUAGGGUUCCAAUUGCGGAUCAAAAGGUUAGCCGAAUAAUUGUAACUAUAUCUUAAUCAUUGGUUUCCAGGUAUGUUUGGGAAUCAAAGGCUGAUGGCGCAUUUUUUGAGGAUACAUGGAAUGAAAAACUUCGGCAUAGAAUUGAAAUCAAAUUGUAUCUCAGAGAGGAAGCAAGGGAAUAUUUGGAGGAGAGCAAAUUGAAGCUGGGAAAUAUUUGGAGGAGAGUAAUACAUACAUUGCAUUAUGGCCAUGCUGUAAACUGCUAAAUUCAUAAACCUGCAUUGGAAUCUGCUGUUGACUUUCCUCUGCUCAUUCUGCCAAUAAUUCUUAUACUGGAAUAUGCAAUUUGCUGCUUUCUUUGUUUACUGUGGCUGUUUGAGAAGAGCCUAAGGGUGAAGCAACAUGCUUAUUAUGCUGAAAACUGAAGAUCAGAAUCUUGCAAUUGGGUGCUUUUUGCAUCAAGAUCAUCAAAACUGCUACUGUCCCAGCAAGAGGGAGAGCACAAAGCAGUUCCAUAACUCCAAAAUCAAGUUCCCCUUGGUGUAUGGAGCAUCCAGCCAAGAAGAGAUGCUAGUGAUUGGGAUUUUUUUUAUUUUGCUUGUAAUAUAGCUUAGGGUAGACGAUGAUGAUGAUGUUUGGCUCAUGCCUCUUUUGUAAAACAUUAUGUAUUUUUUUCAUUGGAGAGCAAUCUAGCUCUUUUUGCUAUCACAUGGUUUGGAUAUAUUGUUCAAAUGCUCAAAUUUGUUGAUA